Molecule: long non-coding RNA, 253 nt
Filed under: Lathyrus oleraceus (garden pea)
Lineage: Eukaryota; Viridiplantae; Streptophyta; Magnoliopsida; Fabales; Fabaceae
Description: Pisum sativum (pea) long non-coding RNA (PSAT_LNC019025)
Source: RNAcentral
UUUAUCAUACAUUAAUAUAAGAGCUUAAUCGUAAAGUAAACCUUGCACACUCCUAUAGGAAAAGGCUUUGAACACUUUUCCCUAUUACACACACAUUUACCUUUUUCGAAUGAAGACACAAGAGUACAACUGUGACAUCGCACACUACACCUAUACACCAUUUUCAAUCUCCUUCUUGGUUUACCUCACCCUACUAGCUAGAUCCAUUCAUGACUCCAUUGGACAUUUGGUUACAUCAGCUAUAUAACUUUUC